RNAcentral lists this long non-coding RNA (348 nucleotides) under Chloebia gouldiae (Gouldian finch). RNAcentral's name for it is "Erythrura gouldiae (Gouldian finch) lncRNA (ENSEGOG00005018351.1)". The record is from RNAcentral. Lineage: Eukaryota; Metazoa; Chordata; Aves; Passeriformes; Passeridae.
AGGGGUCUGGAGGGUCCCUUGGGGCCGGGGGGUUCCUUUGGGGGUCCCGGGGGGUCCCGGCCCCGCUCGCAGCCCCCCGUGCCCCCCCAGCUCCAUUUCAUCCGGCACUACCUGUGGGAGCGCUCGGGCGGGCCGGGGCCGCAGCCGGCCGGGGAGGAGCGGGCGCGGCUGGAGGAGGAGCUGCUGCGGGAGAUCGAGCGCUUUGUCCUGGCCUCCCACUUCUUCUGGGGGCUCUGGUCCGUGGUGCAGGCCAAGAUCUCCACCAUCCACUUCGGCUACCUGGACUACGCCCAGAGCCGUUUCCAGGCCUAUUUCCAGCACAAGGCUCGCUGCUCCUGAGGGGAUCCC